CCUACGGGGGGCAGCAGUAGGGAAUCUUUCACAAUGGGCGAAAGCCUGAUGGAGCAACGCCGCGUGCAGGAUGAAGGCCUUCGGGUUGUAAACUGCUUUUAUAAGCGAGAAAUAUGAUGGUAACUUAUGAAUAAGGAUCGGCGAACUACGUGCCAGCAGUCGCGGUCAUACGUAGGAUCCGAGCAUUAUCCGGAGUGACUGGGUGUAAAGAGUUGCGUAGGUGGCAUAAUAAGUAGCUAGUGAAAUCUGGUGGCUCAACCAUUCAGACUAUUAGCUAAACUGUUAGGCUCGAGACCGUUAGAGGUAACUGGAAUUUGUAGUGUAGGAGUGAAAUCCGUAGAUAUUAGAAAGAACACCGAUAGCGUAGGCAGGUUGCUGGGACGGUUCUGACACUAAGGCACGAAAGCGUAGGGAGCAAACGGGAUUAGAUACCCGAGUAGUC
Molecule: ribosomal RNA, 442 nt
Filed under: uncultured bacterium
Lineage: Bacteria
Description: partial 16S ribosomal RNA
Rfam family: Bacterial small subunit ribosomal RNA
Source: RNAcentral